AACGCGAAGAACCUUACCAGGCCUUGACAUGCAGAGAACUUUCCAGAGAUGGAUUGGUGCCUUCGGGAAUCUAGAUACAGGUGCUGCAUGGCUGUCGUCAGCUCGUGUCGUGAGAUGUUGGGUUAAGUCCCGCAACGAGCGCAACCCUUUUCCUUACUUGCCAGCAUUUCGGAUGGGAACUUUAAGGAUACUGCCAGUGACAAACUGGAGGAAGGCGGGGACGACGUCAAGUCAUCAUGGCCCUUACGACCAGGGCUACACACGUGCUACAAUGGCGCAUACAAAGAGAAGCGACCUCGCGAGAGCAAGCGGACCUCAUAAAGUGCGUCGUAGUCCGGAUUGGAGUCUGCAACUCGACUCCAUGAAGUCGGAAUCGCUAGUAAUCGUGGAUCAGAAAGCCGCGGUGAAUACGUUCCCGGGUCUUGUACACACCG
This 434-nucleotide ribosomal RNA is filed under the name uncultured bacterium. Its description in RNAcentral is "bacterial SSU rRNA". It matches the Rfam family "Bacterial small subunit ribosomal RNA", at positions 958 to 1392 of the family's 1533-position model. The record is from RNAcentral.